This 511-nucleotide ribosomal RNA is filed under the name Stylocheiron affine. RNAcentral's name for it is "partial 16S ribosomal RNA". The stretch from base 388 to 511 matches the Rfam family "Bacterial large subunit ribosomal RNA", at positions 2473 to 2597 of the family's 2925-position model. Lineage: Eukaryota; Metazoa; Arthropoda; Malacostraca; Euphausiacea; Euphausiidae. The record is from RNAcentral.
GUUUUUAUGUAAGUUUUAUAAAAUCUAAUCUGCUCACUGAAAAUUAAAGAGCCGCGGUACUCUAACCGUGCAAAGGUAGCAUAAUAAUUAGUUUUUUAAUUGGGAGCUUGAAUGAAUGAUUGAUCAAGAAAUAAGUUGUCUUAAUUGAAUAUAUUGAAUUUAACUUUUAAGUAAAAAGGCUUAGAUAAUUUUAAGUGACGAUAAGACCCUAUAAAAUUUUAUAAUUAAAAUUGAAGAAAUAAAUUAGUUAUUUUAUUUUUUUUUAUUUGAUUUAUUUUAUUGGGGCGAUAAAAAUAAAAGUAGUAACUGUUUAUAUUAUUUUAAUAGAAAUUAUUAGUUAGAAUUAAUGAUCCUUGAUUAAAGAUUAUGAGAUUAAAUUACUUUAGGGAUAACAGCGUAAUUUUCUUUAAGAGUUCUUAUCUACAAGAAAGAUUGCGACCUCGAUGUUGAAUUAAAAAUUCAUUAAGGUGUAGCUGUUUUAAUAGAAGGUCUGUUCGACCUUUAAAUUUUU